Long non-coding RNA from Acanthopagrus latus (yellowfin seabream), 1223 nucleotides. RefSeq lists it as uncharacterized. The record is from RefSeq and is a predicted model, not a curated record. NCBI's taxonomy places the organism in Eukaryota, Metazoa, Chordata, Actinopteri, Spariformes, Sparidae. The transcript has 3 exons.
CUCCAGGCCAGUUGGUGGCGGUAAUGCGCCGUUUGCCAACCGCCAAUAAACCACACAGAAGGAGAAGAGUAAACAAACACACACGGAGUAAAAGCUCAAAUGAAACGAAACUGCCCGAGCAGUUCGAAUAACGAAAAAGAAAAAGAGAUGCAGGAAAAUAUAUAGCUGCCAAACUAUUUUACCACUGCUGUUACCGGGGAUACAGUGUUGGAUGUGCCGGCUAACGUUAGCUGCGAAGUGUUUGAGGCCCCUCCAGACGACAACGCUCUUUGGUGAAACCGCACAUGUAUUGCAUCGUUUUGGCCGACCGUCCACACGGAUCCUGAAGACGCACUUUUCUGAAAUCGUCUCAGGGUGGAGAAAUCCGAAAACGCACCCCGCCGUUGUCGUGUGGACGGCGAAUCCGCAUACUUUCCGAAACGAUGACGCCAUCGCCCCACCCCGCUACCUCUGAACCCGCGAAGUCUCACAUUAACAACAACAACAAUGGCGGACUACAUGUUCGUGUUCGUGCAUGAAGAUAUUGAGCUUUUCUUGAACUUACUCGUCUUGUAGUUGAAUGUGAGUCGCAGCAGCAGUUCGACCUCAUGACCGGUCCACACAGAAGAUUCUGGUUUCCUUGCACUCGCCAUUUUCAUCUUCUUCUUGUUGUGUUCGGUUUCUCCGUUUACUGUAUGUUUGUUUACAGCGCGCAAGCUUAAUGCGCAUGCUCCGUGUCUUCUUCUCCGUGUUUUGUGAAUGUCAAGCGCCACCUACAGGCCUGGAAUAUGAACUACAGCGUUUUCGCUCGUUUUCAGUGGAUCCGUGUGGACGCAAAUAUCCUUAAAACGACGACGAUCGUUUUCGCCCGUGUGGACGGUGCCUGACGUCGACACAGACAAGGUGGAGGAGUUGUCCAGUGAUGGCCAUUUUGACAGCGAUGAUGACGAUGGUGGGGUUCUGGUGAGUCAACCUAGUUCUGCCAGUUCCAGCCCCAGCUGUGCUAAUCCUGCUGCCACCAACCAAAGCACUGUAGACUUACUAACAGAGACCCAGAAUAGAGAAGAAGAAAGAAGAAGCCCAGCCACUCACAUCUGGACAACUAGGUACAGCUUCAUACCCCACACAGAUGUCAGCAGUAUGUCUCGGACGCGUGUGAUGUGGAGAACUCUCUUCUCUUUCACUCACUCACUCAUAUUUAUAUUGAUUUUAAAAUGAAAUAAACAGUGCUGGUUAACCUGGAA